UACGAAGGGGGCUAGCGUUGCUCGGAAUCACUGGGCGUAAAGGGUGCGUAGGCGGGUCUUUAAGUCAGGGGUGAAAUCUCGAGGCUCAACUUCGAGCUGUCGGUGGAAACUGUCUGGCUAGAGUCCGGAAGAGGAGAAUGGAAUUCCUGGUGUAGCGGUGGAAUGCGCAGAUAUCAGGAGGAACACCUAUAGCGAAGGCAGCUUGCUGGGACGUAACUGACGCUAAGGCGCGAAAGAGUGGGGAGCGAACAGG
This 253-nucleotide ribosomal RNA is filed under the name uncultured bacterium. Its description in RNAcentral is "partial 16S ribosomal RNA". It matches the Rfam family "Bacterial small subunit ribosomal RNA", at positions 524 to 776 of the family's 1533-position model. The record is from RNAcentral.